UACGAAGGGGGCUAGCGUUGCUCGGAAUCACUGGGCGUAAAGCGCACGUAGGCGGACUCUUAAGUCGGUGGUGAAAUCCUGAAGCUCAACUUCAGAACUGCCUUCGAUACUGGGGACCUUGAGUUCGGGAGAGGUGAGUGGAACUGCGAGUGUAGAGGUGAAAUUCGUAGAUAUUCGCAAGAACACCAGUGGCGAAGGCGGCUCACUGGCCCGAUACUGACGCUGAGGUGCGAAAGCGUGGGGAGCAAACAGG
Molecule: ribosomal RNA, 253 nt
Filed under: uncultured bacterium
Lineage: Bacteria
Description: partial 16S ribosomal RNA
Rfam family: Bacterial small subunit ribosomal RNA
Source: RNAcentral